AUUGAACGCUGGCGGCAGGCCUAACACAUGCAAGUCGAGCGAGUGGCGGACGGGUGAGUAAUGUAUGGGGAUCUGCCCGAUAGAGGGGGCUAACUACUGGAAACGGUGGCUAAUACCGCAUACUAUCGGAUGUACCCAUAUGGGAUUAGCUAGUAGGUGGGGUAAAGGCUCACCUAGGCGACGAUCUCUCGCUGGUCUGAGAGGAUGACCAGCCACACUGGGACGGAGACACGGUCCAGACUCCUACGGGAGGCAGCAGUGGGGAAUAGUGCACAAUGGGGGCAAGCCUGAUGCAGCCAUGCCGCGUGGAUGAAGAAGGCCUUAGGGUUGUAAAGUACUUUCAGCGGGGAGGCGUUACCCGCAGAAGAAGCACCGGCUAACUACGUGCCAGCAGCCGCGGUAAUUC
Molecule: ribosomal RNA, 406 nt
Filed under: uncultured bacterium
Lineage: Bacteria
Description: partial 16S ribosomal RNA
Rfam family: Bacterial small subunit ribosomal RNA
Source: RNAcentral